Molecule: transfer RNA, 68 nt
Filed under: Operophtera brumata (winter moth)
Lineage: Eukaryota; Metazoa; Arthropoda; Insecta; Lepidoptera; Geometridae
Rfam family: tRNA
About the family: Transfer RNA (tRNA) molecules are approximately 80 nucleotides in length.
Source: Rfam by way of RNAcentral
CGUUCUAUGGCCAAAUUGGUAAAUGCAUCGCCGAUCACAGGAUGCGGGUUCGAGUCCCGCUGGAACGG